Molecule: ribosomal RNA, 90 nt
Filed under: Ruminococcus sp. AM36-18
Lineage: Bacteria; Bacillati; Bacillota; Clostridia; Eubacteriales; Oscillospiraceae
Source: RNAcentral
CUGAGGGUCCACCUGUUCCCAUACCGAACACAGAAGUUAAGCUCAGUGGUGCCGAAAAUACUUGGCUGGUGACGGCCCGGGAAGAUAGGG